This 521-nucleotide ribosomal RNA is filed under the name uncultured bacterium. RNAcentral's name for it is "bacterial SSU rRNA". It matches the Rfam family "Bacterial small subunit ribosomal RNA", at positions 25 to 518 of the family's 1533-position model. The record is from RNAcentral.
CAGGACGAACGCUGGCGGCGUGCCUAAUACAUGCAAGUCGAACGGCUUUUCUAUGGAAGCUUGCUUCCACUGGGAAGAUAGUGGCGAACGGGUGAGUAACACGUGGGUAACCUGCCCAUAAGAGGGGGGAUAACAUCCGGAAACGGGUGCUAAUACCGCAUAGUUUUCUUGAUCGCAUGAUCGGGAAAGGAAAGACGGCCUUUGUGCUGUCGCUUAUGGAUGGACCCGCGGUGUAUUAGUUAGUUGGUGAGGUAACGGCUCACCAAGACGAUGAUACGUAGCCGACCUGAGAGGGUGAUCGGCCACAUUGGGACUGAGACACGGCCCAAACUCCUACGGGAGGCAGCAGUAGGGAAUCUUCCGCAAUGGACGAAAGUCUGACGGAGCAACGCCGCGUGAGUGAAGAAAGGUUUUCGGAUCGUAAAACUCUGUUGUCAGAGAAGAACAAGUUGGAGAGUAACUGCUCCAGCCUUGACGGUAUCUGACCAGAAAGCCACGGCUAACUACGUGCCAGCCGCUGC